AUGCAAGUCGAACGGAAGGCCCUUCGGGGUACUCGAGUGGCGAACGGGUGAGUAACACGUGGGUGAUCUGCCCUGCACUUUGGGAUAAGCCUGGGAAACUGGGUCUAAUACCGAAUAUGAUCAUCGGCUUCAUGGUCGGUGGUGGAAAGCUUUUGCGGUGUGGGAUGGGCCCGCGGCCUAUCAGCUUGUUGGUGGGGUAAUGGCCUACCAAGGCGACGACGGGUAGCCGGCCUGAGAGGGUGACCGGCCACACUGGGACUGAGAUACGGCCCAGACUCCUACGGGAGGCAGCAGUGGGGAAUAUUGCACAAUGGGCGCAAGCCUGAUGCAGCGACGCCGCGUGAGGGAUGACGGCCUUCGGGUUGUAAACCUCUUUCAGCACAGACGAAGCGCAAGUGACGGUAUGUGCAGAAGAAGGACCGGCCAACUACGUGCCAGCAGCCGCGGUAAUACGUAGGGUCCGAGCGUUGUCCGGAAUUACUGGGCGUAAAGAGCUCGUAGGUGGUUUGUCGCGUUGUUCGUGAAAACUCACAGCUUAACUGUGGGCGUGCGGGCGAUACGGGCAGACUAGAGUACUGCAGGGGAGACUGGAAUUCCUGGUGUAGCGGUGGAAUGCGCAGAUAUCAGGAGGAACACCGGUGGCGAAGGCGGGUCUCUGGGCAGUAACUGACGCUGAGGAGCGAAAGCGUGGGGAGCGAACAGGAUUAGAUACCCUGGUAGUCCACGCCGUAAACGGUGGGUACUAGGUGUGGGUUUCCUUCCUUGGGAUCCGUGCCGUAGCUAACGCAUUAAGUACCCCGCCUGGGGAGUACGGCCGCAAGGCUAAAACUCAAAGGAAUUGACGGGGGCCCGCACAAGCGGCGGAGCAUGUGGAUUAAUUCGAUGCAACGCGAAGAACCUUACCUGGGUUUGACAUGCACAGGACGCUGGUAGAGAUAUCAGUUCCCUUG
Molecule: ribosomal RNA, 950 nt
Filed under: Mycolicibacterium neoaurum
Lineage: Bacteria; Bacillati; Actinomycetota; Actinomycetes; Mycobacteriales; Mycobacteriaceae
Description: bacterial SSU rRNA
Rfam family: Bacterial small subunit ribosomal RNA
Source: RNAcentral